UGGGGAAUAUUGCACAAUGGGCGCAAGCCUGAUGCAGCCAUGCCGCGUGUAUGAAGAAGGCCUUCGGGUUGUAAAGUACUUUCAGCGAGGAGGAAGGCGUUGUGGUUAAUAACCGCAACGAUUGACGUUACUCGCAGAAGAAGCACCGGCUAACUCCGUGCCAGCAGCCGCGGUAAUACGGAGGGUGCAAGCGUUAAUCGGAAUUACUGGGCGUAAAGCGCACGCAGGCGGUCUGUCAAGUCGGAUGUGAAAUCCCCGGGCUCAACCUGGGAACUGCAUCCGAAACUGGCAGGCUAGAGUCUUGUAGAGGGGAGUAGAAUUCCAGGUGUAGCGGUGAAAUGCGUAGAGAUCUGGAGGAAUACCGGUGGCGAAGGCGGCCCCCUGGACAAAGACUGACGCUCAGGUGCGAAAGCGUGGGGAGCAAACA
RNAcentral lists this ribosomal RNA (427 nucleotides) under uncultured bacterium. Its description in RNAcentral is "partial 16S ribosomal RNA". It matches the Rfam family "Bacterial small subunit ribosomal RNA", at positions 355 to 774 of the family's 1533-position model. The record is from RNAcentral.